RNAcentral lists this transfer RNA (63 nucleotides) under Moniezia sp. MN-2015. RNAcentral describes it as "tRNA-Thr". It matches the Rfam family "tRNA". From Rfam's summary of the family: Transfer RNA (tRNA) molecules are approximately 80 nucleotides in length. Their secondary structure includes four short double-helical elements and three loops (D, anti-codon, and T loops). The record is from RNAcentral. Lineage: Eukaryota; Metazoa; Platyhelminthes; Cestoda; Cyclophyllidea; Anoplocephalidae.
GACUAUGUAGUUUAUUUAAAAUGUAGGUUUUGUAAGCCUAAGAUAAUGUUUUGUUUUUAGUCA